CCUGUCAAGUGGAUUGUGUUAUAAACGGGUAUAAUUAUGUAGUCCUUUAAUGUGCCUGAAAUGUAAAAGGAACACACCUGAUCACAUUUAACCGCUAUUAGAGAAGGCCUAUAGAUCUUUUCCAGGCAAAGCACAGUACAUCUAAUGAAAACUAUAGGGCACAAAGACUUCUCACACAAACCCUUUAGGGUUUUCGCCACAAAAAAAUUUAGUUCAUCCUUUGUCCGUGGCAUUUGCGGCACUCGCUGCCCAAGGGCCAACAAUGUUUUUCUAUUUUAACAUUUGAAUGGAC
Pelobates cultripes (western spadefoot toad) is the source of this 292-nucleotide non-coding RNA. NCBI's taxonomy places the organism in Eukaryota, Metazoa, Chordata, Amphibia, Anura, Pelobatidae. The record is from the annotation of a GenBank genome assembly.